Molecule: non-coding RNA, 265 nt
Organism: Zonotrichia albicollis (white-throated sparrow)
Lineage: Eukaryota; Metazoa; Chordata; Aves; Passeriformes; Passerellidae
Source: RefSeq, a predicted model, not a curated record
GUGAGCAUGGACAGGUGAGAUUGGACAGGUGAGAUAUGGACAGGUGAGAUGGGACAGGUGAGAUAUGGACAGGUGAGAUAUGGACAGGUGAGAUGGGACAGGUGAGAUAUGGACAGGUGAGAUAUGGACAGGUGAGAUAUGGACAGGUGAGAUGGGACAGGUGUGGGACCUAAACCAGUAUAACCAAUAUAACCCAGUAAAACCAGUAUAAAUGAUCAUUCCCAGUAUAAACCAAUAUAACCCAUUAAAACCAGUACAAACCAGU